Long non-coding RNA from Aquila chrysaetos chrysaetos, 667 nucleotides. RefSeq lists it as uncharacterized. The transcript has 3 exons. NCBI's taxonomy places the organism in Eukaryota, Metazoa, Chordata, Aves, Accipitriformes, Accipitridae. The record is from RefSeq and is a predicted model, not a curated record.
UGCAAGCCCCUUUAUAGUAUCAAUGGCUGAAAAGAAAUCCUCAGAGGACCUACAUCCUUGUGUGACACAGCAGAAGAAGCAGAAAUAAUACAGAGAAGAGAGCAGGCUGUGGGAGUGAAGUGGCAACAGAGACACUGAGUCUGCGAGAUGGAGACUGGGAGUGGCACAAAGCGUAUUCACAAGCAAAUCUGAAGCCAGUGGAAGUCUGAACAUUUGGCACCCCUGACAAGAACUCUUCUCUGUUUAAAAGUCAUGGGCCAAUGAAGAGGCAGAAGACCAAGGAAGAUCAUAAAACCACAACCUCAUUGCCAGCAAGGGUGGAUGAUAAAAGGAAAUGUUGGGUAGAAUAAGAAGUGGUCACAUCUAAUCUGAUUUCAAUGGAUUUGGACUGUGGAAGGAGGGGAGAAGACAUACAGUUUGGCCAGGUAUGUGAGUUCAGGAGUCCAAGUCCAACCUUUCUGUAGGCAUUGCUGACAGCAUGCGGAAAGUUGGAAAUUUGGUGUGCAGCUGUUGAGGUGUAUAUGCAUAGUUACCCAAAUGUCAGCCAAGCUGGGCUGAAGAUUGAGUGAGUAAAAGAGUGGAGAUAUUUUUUUUUUAACUUGAGUGAAGGAUCUAAAAAUCAAAGAACCAUCUCAAUGGCUUUGAAUUCCAACCAAUAAAUAAAAUC